This 220-nucleotide unclassified non-coding RNA is filed under the name plant metagenome. Its description in RNAcentral is "partial contains small subunit ribosomal RNA, internal transcribed spacer 1, and 5.8S ribosomal RNA". The record is from RNAcentral.
UUUCCGUAGGUGAACCUGCGGAAGGAUCAUUACAGAGUUCAUGCCCUCACGGGUAGAUCUCCCACCCUUGAAUAUUUAUACCUUAGUUGCUUUGGCAGGCCGUGGAAACACCAUGGGCUCCGGCUUAUGCGUGCCUGCCAGAGGUAACAAACUCUAUUUUUAGUGAUGUCUGAGUACUAUAUAAUAGUUAAAACUUUCAACAACGGAUCUCUUGGUUCUG